UACGUAGGGGGCGAGCGUUGUCCGGAUUUAUUGGGCGUAAAGAGCUCGUAGGCGGUUUGGCAAGUCGGGUGUGAAAACUCCGGGCUCAACUCGGAGACGCCACUCGAUACUGCUAUGACUCGAGUCCGGUAGGGGAGUGCGGAAUUUCCGGUGUAGAGGUGAAAUUCGUAGAUAUUCGGAAGAACACCAGUGGCGAAGGCGACUUACUGGACACAUAUUGACGCUGAGGUGCGAAAGCGUGGGGAGCAAACAGG
RNAcentral lists this ribosomal RNA (254 nucleotides) under uncultured bacterium. RNAcentral's name for it is "partial 16S ribosomal RNA". It matches the Rfam family "Bacterial small subunit ribosomal RNA", at positions 524 to 776 of the family's 1533-position model. The record is from RNAcentral.